AACACGUAGAUAAUCUACCCAGGUGUUUGGGAUAACUGACCGAAAGGUUAGCUAAUACCGGAUACGUUCACGAUUUCGCAAGAUAACGUGAAGAAAGAUGGCCUCUUCUUGAAAGCUAUCGCAUUUGGAUGAGUUUGCGUACCAUUAGCUAGUUGGUGGGGUAAGAGCCUACCAAGGCUACGAUGGUUAGCGGGUCUGAGAGGAUGAUCCGCCACACUGGAACUGGAACACGGACCAG
This 238-nucleotide ribosomal RNA is filed under the name uncultured bacterium. Its description in RNAcentral is "partial 16S ribosomal RNA". It matches the Rfam family "Bacterial small subunit ribosomal RNA", at positions 112 to 334 of the family's 1533-position model. The record is from RNAcentral.